CAUCGUCUCACGUGAGAUGACACGCAGGUACAUGAUGGACAUGAUCACCUAUGCUGAUACCGAUGUGGUGGUCGUCGGUGCCGGCUCCGCCGGGCUCUCUUGUGCCUAUGAGCUUAGCAAGAACCCCUCCGUACAGAUAGCUAUUGUCGAGCAGUCUGUUAGCCCCGGAGGUGGUGCCUGGCUCGGUGGGCAGCUUUUCUCUGCCAUGGUAAAUCUUAAAAAAACAAAAAUCAUUUUGGGUUCUCUUUUAUGAAAUUUCUUUUGUUUUAAGGCCUUGAAAUUGUCUCAAACUCUAUGUUUAUUCAGGUAGUGCGGAAACCAGCUCAUCGCUUCCUCGACGAACUCGCCAUUGAAUAUGAUGAACAAGACGACUAUGUUGUGAUCAAGCAUGCAGCCCUUUUCACAUCCACUAUCAUGAGCAAGCUUCUAGCCCGCCCCAACGUGAAGCUGUUCAACGCUGUGGCGGCGGAGGACUUAAUAGUGAAGGAAGGGAGAGUUGGUGGUGUUGUGACAAACUGGGCCCUGGUGUCAAUGAACCAUGACACACAGUCCUGCAUGGACCCUAAUGUGAUGGAGGCCAAGGUGGUGGUGAGCUCUUGUGGUCAUGAUGGGCCAUUUGGAGCCACCGGGGUGAAGAGGUUGAAAAGCAUUGGGAUGAUUGAUAGUGUGCCAGGGAUGAAGGCACUGGAUAUGAAUACAGCUGAGGAUGCUAUAGUGAGGCUGACUAGGGAAAUUGUGCCUGGGAUGAUUGUCACCGGGAUGGAAGUUGCUGAGAUUGAUGGAUCCCCAAGAAUGGUAAUUUUAUUCCCACUUGCACAGUCAUUUUUAUUACUGUUGUUGUUGGACUAUUAUUAACAUAUUAACAAAUACAGGGGCCAACAUUUGGAGCAAUGAUGAUAUCAGGGCAAAAGGCAGCCCAUCUUGCCCUGAAAUCAUUAGGAUUGCCUAAU
Molecule: long non-coding RNA, 950 nt
Filed under: Gossypium barbadense (sea-island cotton)
Lineage: Eukaryota; Viridiplantae; Streptophyta; Magnoliopsida; Malvales; Malvaceae
Description: long non-coding RNA (GBAR_LNC013259)
Source: RNAcentral